Molecule: non-coding RNA, 70 nt
Organism: Danionella cerebrum
Lineage: Eukaryota; Metazoa; Chordata; Actinopteri; Cypriniformes; Danionidae
Source: the annotation of a GenBank genome assembly
GUGGCAGUCGUGGUGGAUAAGGUGAUUGACUGGAGAUCAAAAGGUCCCCGGUUCGAUCCCCAGCUCCACU